UACGUAGGGUGCAAGCGUUGUCCGGAAUUAUUGGGCGUAAAGAGCUCGUAGGCGGUCUGUCGCGUCUGCUGUGAAAACUCGGGGCUUAACCCCGGGCCUGCAGUGGGUACGGGCAGACUAGAGUGCGGUAGGGGAGACUGGAAUUCCUGGUGUAGCGGUGAAAUGCGCAGAUAUCAGGAGGAACACCGGUGGCGAAGGCGGGUCGCUGGGCCGAUACUGACGCUGAGGAGCGAAAGCGUGGGGAGCGAACAGG
RNAcentral lists this ribosomal RNA (253 nucleotides) under uncultured bacterium. Its description in RNAcentral is "partial 16S ribosomal RNA". It matches the Rfam family "Bacterial small subunit ribosomal RNA", at positions 524 to 776 of the family's 1533-position model. The record is from RNAcentral.